GGGGACCAUCCUCCAAGGCUAAAUACUCCUGACUGACCGAUAGUGAACCAGUACCGUGAGGGAAAGGCGAAAAGAACCCCGGCGAGGGGAGUGAAAAAGAACCUGAAACCGUGUACGUACAAGCAGUGGGAGCACGCUUAGGCGUGUGACUGCGUACCUUUUGUAUAAUGGGUCAGCGACUUAUAUUCUGUAGCAAGGUUAACCGAAUAGGGGAGCCGAAGGGAAACCGAGUCUUAACUGGGCGUUAAGUUGCAGGGUAUAGACCCGAAACCCGGUGAUCUAGCCAUGGGCAGGUUGAAGGUUGGGUAACACUAACUGGAGGACCGAACCGACUAAUGUUGAAAAAUUAGCGGAUGACUUGUGGCUGGGGGUGAAAGGCCAAUCAAACCGGGAGAUAGCUGGUUCUCCCCGAAAGCUAUUUAGGUAGCGCCUCGUGAAUUCAUCUCCGGGGGUAGAGCACUGUUUCGGCAAGGGGGUCAUCCCGACUUACCAACCCGAUGCAAACUGCGAAUACCGGAGAAUGUUAUCACGGGAGACACACGGCGGGUGCUAACGUCCGUCGUGAAGAGGGAAACAACCCAGACCGCCAGCUAAGGUCCCAAAGUCAUGGUUAAGUGGGAAACGAUGUGGGAAGGCCCAGACAGCCAGGAUGUUGGCUUAGAAGCAGCCAUCAUUUAAAGAAAGCGUAAUAGCUCACUGGUCGAGUCGGCCUGCGCGGAAGAUGUAACGGGGCUAAACCAUGCACCGAAGCUGCGGCAGCGACGCUGAUGCGUUGUUGGGUAGGGGAGCGUUCUGUAAGCCUGCGAAGGUGUGCUGUGAGGCAUGCUGGAGGUAUCAGAAGUGCGAAUGCUGACAUAAGUAACGAUAAAGCGGGUGAAAAGCCCGCUCGCCGGAAGACCAAGGGUUCCUGUCCAACGUUAAUCGGGGCAGGGUGAGUCGACCCCUAAGGCGAGGCCGAAAGGCGUAGUCGAUGGGAAACAGGUUAAUAUUCCUGUACUUGGUGUUACUGCGAAGGGGGGACGGAGAAGGCUAUGUUGGCCGGGCGACGGUUGUCCCGGUUUAAGCGUGUAGGCUGGUUUUCCAGGCAAAUCCGGAAAAUCAAGGCUGAGGCGUGAUGACGAGGCACUGCGGUGCUGAAGCAACAAAUGCCCUGCUUCCAGGAAAAGCCUCUAAGCAUCAGGUAACAUCAAAUCGUACCCCAAACCGACACAGGUGGUCAGGUAGAGAAUACCAAGGCGCUUGAGAGAACUCGGGUGAAGGAACUAGGCAAAAUGGUGCCGUAACUUCGGGAGAAGGCACGCUGAUAUGUAGGUGAAGUCCCUCGCGGAUGGAGCUGAAAUCAGUCGAAGAUACCAGCUGGCUGCAACUGUUUAUUAAAAACACAGCACUGUGCAAACACGAAAGUGGACGUAUACGGUGUGACGCCUGCCCGGUGCCGGAAGGUUAAUUGAUGGGGUUAGCGCAAGCGAAGCUCUUGAUCGAAGCCCCGGUAAACGGCGGCCGUAACUAUAACGGUCCUAAGGUAGCGAAAUUCCUUGUCGGGUAAGUUCCGACCUGCACGAAUGGCGUAAUGAUGGCCAGGCUGUCUCCACCCGAGACUCAGUGAAAUUGAACUCGCUGUGAAGAUGCAGUGUACCCGCGGCAAGACGGAAAGACCCCGUGAACCUUUACUAUAGCUUGACACUGAACAUUGAGCCUUGAUGUGUAGGAUAGGUGGGAGGCUU
RNAcentral lists this ribosomal RNA (1724 nucleotides) under Escherichia coli. RNAcentral's name for it is "partial 23S ribosomal RNA". It matches the Rfam family "Bacterial large subunit ribosomal RNA", at positions 448 to 2157 of the family's 2925-position model. Lineage: Bacteria; Pseudomonadati; Pseudomonadota; Gammaproteobacteria; Enterobacterales; Enterobacteriaceae. The record is from RNAcentral.